Molecule: long non-coding RNA, 348 nt
Filed under: Vigna radiata
Lineage: Eukaryota; Viridiplantae; Streptophyta; Magnoliopsida; Fabales; Fabaceae
Description: long non-coding RNA (VRAD_LNC015544)
Source: RNAcentral
UCGAGUUCCGGUGGGGUGAACCCAACGGGUGCCUCUUUUUUUACGGCCUCUGCGGUUUCAUCGGCCGCUGCAGCUCUGAUUGUCUUGGAGAACUUGAGGGGCUUGGGAGAGGAGAAGGAGAAGGUGGGGGAUUGCUUCCAUGGCACGGAGACACGGUCGGUGGGUUUGAGAGCAGAGAAGGAAGGACUGAAGAGGGAGGCUUGGGUUGCCAUGGCCAUGCUGAGAAGGGUUGGGUUGUUGUGUUGUGAGAGAUCAGUGAAAAAGAAAAGAAAAGAGAUCAAACAAGUAUAGGAUGAAAAAGAUUUUUGAUGGGUUGUGUGGAUUUCGAUAUGGAUAAGUGGAUAUGCC